UUGAAUUGCCUAAUGUUCCAGCUAUCACCAGCACCAUGGCGAUGCAGAUCAGGCCUAAGCGGCAGUCCAGCCAAUCCGGCGAGGACUCAAAUGACUUAGAAGACCGCUACGGCAGGCAGAACCAGGGCAGACCACAGUGGAACCAGUUCCAGAGACCGAACCGAUUCCCUGGACAAAACCAGUUCCCGGGGCAAAACCAGUUCCCUGGCCAAAACCAAUUCCCGGGGCAAAACCAAUUCCCUGGACAAAAUCAAUUCCCUGGACAAAAUCAAUUCCCAAGCCAGAAUCAGUUUCCAGGACAGGGACAAUUCCCUGGUCAGGGCCAGUUCCCAGGACAAGGGCAGUUCCCAGGACAAGGACAGCUCCCUAACCAAAACCAAACCAGAACCAACAGUCGACUGCAUCCCCUACCCCUAACAAUGGAAAUAGCAACACUGCGAGUCAGGACCGCUGCAUCAGCCAGUGCCCCGUGACGGCUGAGUACAACCCCGUGUGUGGCACCAACUUGGUACAAUACCCCAACCCUGGUCGCCUGGCGUGUGCCCAGUCGUGUGGCGUCAAUGUUUCCCUGCUGAGGUCAUCGCCAUGCCCGACGACAACUACCGCUGCACCUACAAGCUAGACAUAAUCUGGACUACUUUAAAUUAUAGACUGAAUAAAUUACAGCUUAGAUUUCUCUA
Molecule: unclassified non-coding RNA, 680 nt
Filed under: Leguminivora glycinivorella
Lineage: Eukaryota; Metazoa; Arthropoda; Insecta; Lepidoptera; Tortricidae
Description: glutenin, high molecular weight subunit PW212-like, transcript variant X1
Source: RNAcentral